GAUGAACGCUGGCGGUGUGCCUAAUACAUGCAAGUCGAGCGAACGGACGAUAAGCUUUCUUCUCUGAUGUUAGCGGCGGGCGGGCGAGUAACACGUGGAUAACCAUCUUAUUAGACUGGGAUAACUUCGUGAAACCGGAGCUAAUACCGGAUAAUAUUUUGAACCGCUGGGUUCAACAGUUAAUGACGCUCUUGCCGUUAGUAUUAGAUGGAUCCGCGCUGCAUUAUCUACGUGGUAAGGUAACGACUUAGCAAGGCAACGUUGCAUAGCCGACCUGAGAGGGUGAUCGGCCACACUGGAACUGAGACACGGUCCAUACUCCUACGGUAGGCAGCAGUAGGGAAUUUUGUGCAAGGGGCGAAAGCCUGACGCAGCCACGCCGCGUGGGUGAUGAAGGUCUUCGGUUUGUAAAGCUCUUUUAUUGGGGAAGAACAUCUGUGUAAUUAGCUGUCCACAUUCUGACGGUACCUAAUCAAAAAGCCACGGCUAACUACGUG
Molecule: ribosomal RNA, 497 nt
Filed under: uncultured bacterium
Lineage: Bacteria
Description: partial 16S ribosomal RNA
Rfam family: Bacterial small subunit ribosomal RNA
Source: RNAcentral